This 306-nucleotide ribosomal RNA is filed under the name Salmonella enterica subsp. enterica. RNAcentral's name for it is "bacterial SSU rRNA". It matches the Rfam family "Bacterial small subunit ribosomal RNA", at positions 692 to 997 of the family's 1533-position model. The record is from RNAcentral. Lineage: Bacteria; Pseudomonadati; Pseudomonadota; Gammaproteobacteria; Enterobacterales; Enterobacteriaceae.
AGAGAUCUGGAGGAAUACCGGUGGCGAAGGCGGCCCCCUGGACAAAGACUGACGCUCAGGUGCGAAAGCGUGGGGAGCAAACAGGAUUAGAUACCCUGGUAGUCCACGCCGUAAACGAUGUCUACUUGGAGGUUGUGCCCUUGAGGCGUGGCUUCCGGAGCUAACGCGUUAAGUAGACCGCCUGGGGAGUACGGCCGCAAGGUUAAAACUCAAAUGAAUUGACGGGGGCCCGCACAAGCGGUGGAGCAUGUGGUUUAAUUCGAUGCAACGCGAAGAACCUUACCUGGUCUUGACAUCCACAGAACU